Numida meleagris (helmeted guineafowl) is the source of this 1403-nucleotide long non-coding RNA. RefSeq lists it as uncharacterized. The record is from RefSeq and is a predicted model, not a curated record. The transcript has 3 exons. Lineage: Eukaryota; Metazoa; Chordata; Aves; Galliformes; Numididae.
UCAGGAGACAGCAGGGACUUUAAAGACCCAAAUUACAGAGAAAGGGAGAGAGAGAAGGAGAAUACAAGAGAUAAAAAGGAGUCUAUGCAUCUUAUCGUACUAAUGAAAUCAACCUGACAAUCAUGGCAGGCUGCAAGGGUAUUACACUGUCUGGUAUUAAAUGAGCAGUUACAGCACAGGCUCCUGUAUCAAACAGCAAAUAGACACGAAAGAGAAGAAAAAUGUACCGCUAGGUCAAGGCGAGUGAUUUAUAGGGAGCAGUUAGACAGCUGGUCAGUUUUAAACCCUCCUCAAGCACGCUGUCAGGAUAAUAACGUAUUCAAAUGCUUCGAUUAGCAUUUCAAGGGACAGGGAAUGUUCUGCAACACAGAAAACCUCGGUGAGCCCUAAAAUGCAAUUAAUGAGGAAACAGCAAUUGCCCGCAGCUGUUACUCUGUUUAUGUGCAGAGGAACAAUCACCUGUUGCAAAGGCAGCAAUAAUCCAGCCUGUUCUGUGGACACAUUUGACUAAUUUUGACUGUUUUGAACUGCGAUGCCUUGCUCUCCUUGAACUUGCUGCAAAAGGCAGCUCUUCCAGCAAGUGGAAGCAGCUGAGCCUCAUUUGGUCCCAAAAGGCUGUUUUCCAAAAACAUGGGAGUUUCAAGAUCUUUCAGAUGGAGAUAACAGCCAACUAAUUCUGCAACUGGAAAAAGACAUGGCACCCAAACUGGGCUUUGGGAGCAGCACUGAAAUACUCGUGUUCAGAGUUCAGUUAGGAAAGGAAAAAAUGAGGCAUCUCUGUGAAUAUUUACCCAUCUCUGACAAGGGGGGAGAUUUUGCUAUGAAUCAGCUCCCAGAACUUGUGCUUGGUUUUGUGUUCAACUCUAGACAAGUUGAUUGAACAAGAAGAUGAUGGGAAGCAGCCAUUUUAAUCAGCUUACUGAGAUGGAUCUCGAUGUCCUUGGGAAGACAGCAGAGGCUGACGUCCUCCCCACCACACCGGGUUGAAGUGCAGUCCCCAUCACAUGCUGAGGGCAGAGCAGUGCUCAGAGGUGCCCCUUGGGUUUAGGACAAUUUCCUGAAGAUGCUCAGGCUGGCUUGGCCCAUGGAACUGACAAAUCCCAGGCCAGCUGAGGUACUCUGAGCAGCUCUGUCUGUACUUUUCCAUUGAUCCUUUGCCUAGAUAUAUAGUUCUGAUUUUGUCUGUGUCAUGGGAAGAUGUCAUCUUGAUCCCUCUACAAGGCUUUCAAAUAGUAACAUUUUGUUUGAAGGGAAAAGGAAAGAAAAAAGCAAGUGACAAAGAGCACUUAAUCAGUAUUACUCAGUAUGUUUACAUUUAUGCUUGAAGAUGAGCAACAUGAUGUAUUUCUGUUCGUGUUCAUGUGGAUAAAAACCUUCUAUGCAAUUGCUAUGACCUACCAUUU